UAAUGUACGUGGCGGGGCCGGCAACGACAACUGGUGUCUUGAGAAGGGAAGGAAUUGCGGCCCAGCUCCGACCCGUUGCUGUAAGGGAUUGAAGUGUGAACGGACUGGAGAGCCCGAUGGCUUCACCUGGCUAGAGUGUAAGCCAGCGUAAUCCACACUGUUUGGCCUUUGCCAGAUUGCACGGCAAUUUCUUUUUGCCAUGGCUUCGAAGUAACUAGGCAUUGGAGCUUUGCUUUUCGGUCAUCAUCGAAGAAGACAGUCAGUCGGCUCUUUGCCGAACGGAAAUUUUCUCUUGAUUUUCAUUAUGAAUUCAUUUCGCUUCGGGCAACAGAGCUCUUUUUUAUUGGACUGCAGGUUGGAUUUUUAAGACGGACGGACAGAAUACCGUUUUGGCUAG
RNAcentral lists this small RNA (397 nucleotides) under Histoplasma capsulatum. RNAcentral's name for it is "hypothetical RNA". RNAcentral also lists the same sequence under 1 other name. The record is from RNAcentral. Lineage: Eukaryota; Fungi; Ascomycota; Eurotiomycetes; Onygenales; Ajellomycetaceae.